Hermetia illucens (black soldier fly) is the source of this 768-nucleotide long non-coding RNA. RefSeq lists it as uncharacterized. The transcript is spliced from 2 exons. Lineage: Eukaryota; Metazoa; Arthropoda; Insecta; Diptera; Stratiomyidae. The record is from RefSeq and is a predicted model, not a curated record.
AAUUGCAAUAUUGGGAAGCCCACCUGAACACCAGUUGAAUUUCAGCAGUGAGCCACUUACAUCAUUCCUGCUUCUCAAUACUGUGUUCAGAAGUAUAUCCAGAAAGUGCCAUUUUAGUGAUUCAUCCUUUGAAAGUUGCCACCUUACAUGUCAAAAGCAGAUUUGCACUGACGUAAAACUUAAUGACUUUAACACCAUGGAAGGGGAAAAAUUGCCGUAUGGAAUUGAACAAUGGAAGAACUCUCACUAGUGGAUGCGAGGAUUAGUUCUAGGAAUGCCGACAGCAUGGUGAAAACCGACAAGAACCUUCUAGUUCACGUCUUAACUCUAGUCCAUACUCAAUACUUCUUAGUGAACAAUGGAAACAUUUCGAAAGUCCAUGUGGAAUGAUCAUCAUAAUAACAUGCAGGUAAAACUUACUCCUCGGCAAUAUAUUUGAUGAGGGCAUGGUUUCAGGUCACAAUAACUUUAUAUAAUUCUUAAAAUUUCGAGCGAUUCCAAAUCCGAAGCACCACGAGAGAGAGAGAGGUUUGGAAACCAGCAAGCGAGUAUCACUUUUAGCAGACAAAGUAAAUAAGGACUAGUUUUCGUACGUUGGCCAGUAGCACCGAACAUCCGUUUCCUUGUUGAAGUUGUUCCAGUUUAAUUUUGCCAGCGUGAUUGAGCUAACUCCUCCUUGGGUAAGAUGGUAAAAUUUCAGAGAACUGUAUUUUUUUCUGAUAUUGGACUAUGACAAACUUUCUGGAAGUAAAUGGAAUUUUGAUGUUU